GACGAACGCUGGCGGCGUGCCUAAUACAUGCAAGUUGAGCGCUGAAGGUUGGUACUUGUACCGACUGGAUGAGCAGCGAACGGGUGAGUAACGCGUGGGGAAUCUGCCUUUGAGCGGGGGACAACAUUUGGAAACGAAUGCUAAUACCGCAUAAAAACUUUAAACACAAGUUUUAAGUUUGAAAGAUGCAAUUGCAUCACUCAAAGAUGAUCCCGCGUUGUAUUAGCUAGUUGGUGAGGCAAAGGCUCACCAAGGCGAUGAUACAUAGCCGACCUGAGAGGGUGAUCGGCCACAUUGGGACUGAGACACGGCCCAAACUCCUACGGGAGGCAGCAGUAGGGAAUCUUCGGCAAUGGACGAAAGUCUGACCGAGCAACGCCGCGUGAGUGAAGAAGGUUUUCGGAUCGUAAAACUCUGUUGGUAGAGAAGAACGUUGGUGAGAGUGGAAAGCUCAUCAAGUGACGGUAACUACCCAGAAAGGGACGGCUAACUACGUG
RNAcentral lists this ribosomal RNA (497 nucleotides) under uncultured bacterium. RNAcentral's name for it is "partial 16S ribosomal RNA". It matches the Rfam family "Bacterial small subunit ribosomal RNA", at positions 28 to 507 of the family's 1533-position model. The record is from RNAcentral.